AGAUUUAUAGAGAAAACAUAAUUUCUGUUUCAUAAUUAGGGCUUUUUGUUUGAUCUAAUCGGUUACUGAAUUAUGGUUUUGUUUGUAAGGAGAAUCCGAUUGCAAGCUCACCGGCGAAGGAAGCAUACAGGAAUCGGCUGGCGGACAGCCUCAACAUGGGAGUUAUGGAUUGGUUUGAUCCAAUUGCUGAUUCGACUACUAGCCAUCUCGAUCUGAUUCCCCACAUGGUUUAGGGGAGAAGUUUAAAACAACAGGACUAUGGAAGGAUAUACGGUGCUACAUUGACAGUCAACUCUACGGUUUGUAGGUUGAAGUUUGCUUAACACGCUUCAACCGUCGAACUUGGUGCGGCUCAAUUGAAUAAGGAAUGAAGUAGGUAAUGUACCUAGAAUCUUGGCAGAAGGAAGCGACUGGAGUUUGUUUUUUAAGGUAGUAAUUUCAAUCUAUCUUUUCAAGUUGCUUGUGGUGAACAACUUUCCCACAUCAAUGGGAGUAGCUGUAAAGCAACAUUUUACAGUUUUGUGAAAGAGAGCAUGCUUGCUUCAGUCUCUAUAAAUACUUCAUCAAGCUCAACACUAUACAAUCACUCAACUCAGACGAAUUAAACUUUCACAUUAAUAUAUUGACUCUUUGCAUCUGGAUCUUGCGUUGUUCCUCGGCUCUCACAUCAAGGUUUCACAUUUUUUGUUGGCUUUUUACAUCUGCCUCUUGCAUUAUUGUAAGUUCUUCCAAAUUUCUUGGUUUUUUGAUCUGUAUUGUUUAACUGCCUCUUUGUU
Helianthus annuus (common sunflower) is the source of this 776-nucleotide long non-coding RNA. RefSeq lists it as uncharacterized. The transcript has 7 exons. Lineage: Eukaryota; Viridiplantae; Streptophyta; Magnoliopsida; Asterales; Asteraceae. The record is from RefSeq and is a predicted model, not a curated record.